Molecule: ribosomal RNA, 208 nt
Filed under: uncultured Leptotrichia sp.
Lineage: Bacteria; Fusobacteriati; Fusobacteriota; Fusobacteriia; Fusobacteriales; Leptotrichiaceae
Description: partial 16S ribosomal RNA
Rfam family: Bacterial small subunit ribosomal RNA
Source: RNAcentral
GAGGGAAACUUACUGAUAAUACUGGAUAAAGUUAGUAUAUCGCAUGAUAUGCAAAUGAAAGCUACGGCACUAAAGGAGAGCUUUGCGUCCUAUUAGCUAGUUGGUAAGGUAAGAGCUUACCAAGGCGAUGAUAGGUAGCCGGCCUGAGAGGGUGGACGGCCACAAGGGGACUGAGAUACGGCCCUUACUCCUACGGGAGGCAGCAGCG